UUGUUUAGAUUACCUGCCUGAAACGGCAAGGCUGGUGGUUAAUAUUGACCACCAGCCU
RNAcentral lists this small RNA (58 nucleotides) under Alteromonas confluentis. RNAcentral's name for it is "Pseudomonas sRNA P26". It matches the Rfam family "Pseudomonas sRNA P26". From Rfam's summary of the family: P26 is conserved across many Gammaproteobacteria species and appears to be consistently located between the DNA directed RNA polymerase (beta subunit) and 50S ribosomal protein L7/L12 genes. Lineage: Bacteria; Pseudomonadati; Pseudomonadota; Gammaproteobacteria; Alteromonadales; Alteromonadaceae. The record is from Rfam by way of RNAcentral.